CCGGCACGGGUGAGUAACACGUAUCCAACCUGCCGUCUACUCUUGGCCAGCCUUCUGAAAGGAAGAUUAAUCCAGGAUGGGAUCAUGAGUUCACAUGUCCGCAUGAUUAAAGGUAUUUUCCGGUAGACGAUGGGGAUGCGUUCCAUUAGAUAGUAGGCGGGGUAACGGCUCACCUAGUCAACGAUGGAUAGGGGUUCUGAGAGGAAGGUCCCCCACAUUGGAACUGAGACACGGUCCAA
RNAcentral lists this ribosomal RNA (239 nucleotides) under uncultured bacterium. RNAcentral's name for it is "partial 16S ribosomal RNA". It matches the Rfam family "Bacterial small subunit ribosomal RNA", at positions 100 to 334 of the family's 1533-position model. The record is from RNAcentral.